UCUAUUUUUUUUCUACAGUAAGCUCUAGGAACACAAUACAACUAAACGGAAAGAAUUGAAUUUGAGGUUCAGAGGAUGAACGAACAAAAUCGCCUUCUCCUCCUCUUCCUUUCUUUAUCUCUCUCGCCAGCCACCGUUUUUCUUCUGCAUCCAUUUAAAUUCUCUACAUCCACAAAACCAACAUCAAAAUCUCUCUUUCCCUUUCAAAUUUUUAGAUUCUUUCACCAAUUUUUCACCGAACCAGUUUCUGAGAAGAACAAGAAAUCAAAAUCUUCAAGAGAUGGAACAACAAAUGAGGCAGGACAAUCAUCAAGAAGAAGCUGUAGCCUCAGGUUGCAGAAGAAUCUUCUGGCUUUCAACAAGGAGCUGUUGGUGAAAGUAAUGUUCAAAUUAAUUGUUCUGACUCGGAUCAAGGUGGAUCGACUGAACUUUAGAAACUGUUAAAGCAGAAGACUUUCAGCAGGCAUGUUUUGUAUCCUGUAUUUCUGUGGAUGAGGAAUAAUUGUUUUUGGUUUUUAGUUGUUGAAACUAAUUGUUUUGCACAUUUGGUAAUUUUAUUUUCAGAAAAAGGCUUAACAUAAGAGCUAUAAAAACAUCUCGGCACACAAUAUCUUGAUACUAUGUUGGAGUAUGUUAUGUUAUAGCAUAGGAAUAGUUUUCUAGUAGUUUCUUAGUGUAUCUUAUAUUAUUCCUUAAGAUUAGUUUCCAUAUUUCAUAGUUACUAUCAUGGUUUAUUAUUUUCCUAUGUAAUUGGUAUUUGGAGUCUUGUGCACGGCUAACUGCGUAUUCUUUUUGUUACAAAUCAUAAUUAUCAAUCAUAUCAAACAAUAUUCAUAAUUCAAAGACUUAAUCUAUUUGUUUGAUUGUAAUUUGUGGAUUUGAAAUUACUGAUUUCUCCACUCUGAGCUAUCUCACAUUAAUUGCUUCGUAAUAUCCAUAGGAUCCUAUCGAGGACGUUGCUUCACCUGCAGAGCUUGCAAAAAUCCUUCUCGUGGGGAAGACCCAACUCUUCUAAAAAUUGAAAAUACUCCAUAUAAAUCCCCUAUAACAUCGAUUGUGCCAAGGGAUACUAGACAAACUGCAGUUCAUGAAAAUGAUUUUGUGACCCCAAGACCUCGUGGCAGAUCUGCAAUAUACAAUAUGGCUCGUACACAGUAUUCCAGAGUUUAUCCAACCUCUACCCUCAAGGGAGUUGUGAAUGCUGUUCAAGUAGAGCCUUCAUCUUCAACUCAGUCUGCAAUGAAUCUUGACAUGCUUUCGGGAUCUACAUGAGGGGGGAUAAAGUGUAGAAAUUUAGCAGUGGAUAAUAAUAUUGGAUCUGUUGGUCCUAUACGCCGAGUCCGUCAUAAGUCUAAUCUUCUAUAUUCUAAAGGUUCCAGCUCACCUCUUUCUGGCAGUGCUUUAUCUGUCUAUAGGAACUGAUCGGGUAUUGUUACUGCUCAGCAACCCUCAUCUUCCUUGCGGAAGCCUGUUCUGCCAGAUGAAAUUAAGCACAAGUCUAAAGAAAAUGUGAACGGAACUAAAGCUAGUACGAGCUUUCCUCCUUUUUCCUCAAAAUUCAGUGAGAUGGCUACAAAAAUAUUGCAGCAACUUGAUAAGUUUUUUUCUCCCAAAGAAAAAUCUUCUGAAUCAAGGCUACCAGUUGUGAGUGAUAGUUCAUCAAUGAAGUUGUCACCUUCAAUGCUACACGGACAGGCUCUUUGAGCAUGGAAAUGGUAAAUGCGUCAAAAUCGCCGGACAGUUUACAAGGUUAUAAAUUGGGUGGCACAUUUGGAAAUUUGUCUCGGUGCGUAGAAUCCGAAGUCAAUUUCACAUAGAGAGAUAAGGAUGCAAUUCCAUACUACUUGUUUUUUAUAAAUAUUCCAAGAACACAACAACAUAGUACUAGGAAUUUCACACAAAAGUACCACAAAUAACAACAAUGUCUUCCUCUCCACCACCUCUAGUGAAUAAUCCUCCUUCCACCACAAUCUCUCAAGAACAACAGACACAAUCCUCAUCACCGCAUCACUCAUCCUCAUCCUCAUCAUCCCCCACCACAAUCUCUCAAGAACAACAGACAGGAGCACCUUCCUCCUCCACCACAACAAACAUCACCACACUAACCUCUCAAGAACAGCAGCAAGAUCCUCAACAAUCCUCACAACCAAGAACAUCUACAGAAGAAAUACAUUCAUCUCCACAACAUACACAAACUGGUUUAUCUUCCACCACCCUUAUUCCACGACAAACAUCUCAUUCUCAUUCUCCUUCAAGUGAACAAACAAAUCGUCAGGAUAGAGAACCCCCAACAUCAAAAUUGGUGGCAAAGAACCAGACCAUAUGCAAUAGUCAUCCUAUUGCAAUUCGUGUUUGCCAUCAUGAAUUUCUCAACAAAGCUGGCAAUGAACAACGGGAUGAGCAACUAUGUGUUUGUUGCAUAUCGCAACAUCCCUGCAUGUCUGGUCAUUGCACCAUUUGCGGUUUAUCUUGAAAGGGAUCGUUGGUCACAAAUGACAUGGUCAGUAUUCAUGAAGAUAUUGGCGCUCAGUGUGCUAGGACCUAUUAUGGACCAAGAUCUAUACUUCUUAGGGAUGAAGUACUCCACGACAACCCUAGCAUCAGCAUUAUGCAAUACUCUUCCUGGCAUGACGUUUAUUUUGGCUUGUGUUACUGGGAGAGAAACUAUAAACAUAACUGCUAAACCAAGCCAAGCAAAAAUAUUGGAGAGAAAAUAUGAAAUUUAUUGAUGUUGGGGGUUCUCUAUCCUGACGAUUUGUUCACUUGAAGGAGAAUGAGAUGUUUGUCGUGGAAUAAGGGUGGUGGAAGAUAAACCAGUUUGUGUAUGUUGUGGAGAUGAAUGUAUUUCUUUUGUAGAUGUUCUUGGUUGUGAGGAUUGUUGAAGAUCUUGUUGCUGUUCUUGAGAGGUUAGUGUGGUGAUGUUUGUUGUGGUGGAGGAGGAAGGUGCUCCUGUCUGUUGUUCUUGAGAGAUUGUGGUGGGGGAUGAUAAGGAUGAGGAUGAGGGAUGUGGUGAUGAGGAUUGUGUCUGUUGUUCUUGAGAGAUUGUGGUGGAAGGAGGAUUAUUCACUAGAGGUGGUGGAGAGGAAGACAUUGUUGUUAUUUGUGGUACUUUUGUGUGAAAUCCUAGUACUAUGUUGUUGUGUUCUUAGAAUAUUAAUAGGAUGACAUUUGAUGCAAAA
Long non-coding RNA from Trifolium pratense (red clover), 3179 nucleotides. RefSeq lists it as uncharacterized. Lineage: Eukaryota; Viridiplantae; Streptophyta; Magnoliopsida; Fabales; Fabaceae. The transcript is spliced from 8 exons. The record is from RefSeq and is a predicted model, not a curated record.